GAGUGGCGGACGGGUGAGUAAUGUCUGGGAAACUGCCUGAUGGAGGGGGAUAACUACUGGAAACGGUAGCUAAUACCGCAUAACGUCGCAAGACCAAAGAGGGGGACCUUCGGGCCUCUUGCCAUCGGAUGUGCCCAGAUGGGAUUAGCUAGUAGGUGGGGUAACGGCUCACCUAGGCGACGAUCCCUAGCUGGUCUGAGAGGAUGACCAGCCACACUGGAACUGAGACACGGUCCAGACUCCUACGGGAGGCAGCAGUGGGGAAUAUUGCACAAUGGGCGCAAGCCUGAUGCAGCCAUGCCGCGUGUAUGAAGAAGGCCUUCGGGUUGUAAAGUACUUUCAGCGGGGAGGAAGGGAGUAAAGUUAAUACCUUUACUCAUUGACGUUACCCGCAGAAGAAGCACCGGCUAACUCCGUGCCAGCAGCCGCGGUAAUACGGAGGGUGCAAGCGUUAAUCGGAAUUACUGGGCGUAAAGCGCACGCAGGCGGUUUGUUAAGUCAGAUGUGAAAUCCCCGGGCUCAACCUGGGAACUGCAUCUGAUACUGGCAAGCUUGAGUCUCGUAGAGGGGGGUAGAAUUCCAGGUGUAGCGGUGAAAUGCGUAGAGAUCUGGAGGAAUACCGGUGGCGAAGGCGGCCCCCUGGACAAAGACGGACGCUAAGGUGCGAAAGCGUGGGGAGCAAACAGGAUUAGAU
RNAcentral lists this ribosomal RNA (694 nucleotides) under Escherichia coli. RNAcentral's name for it is "bacterial SSU rRNA". It matches the Rfam family "Bacterial small subunit ribosomal RNA", at positions 93 to 783 of the family's 1533-position model. Lineage: Bacteria; Pseudomonadati; Pseudomonadota; Gammaproteobacteria; Enterobacterales; Enterobacteriaceae. The record is from RNAcentral.